This 1146-nucleotide ribosomal RNA is filed under the name Ocellularia erodens. RNAcentral describes it as "partial 28S ribosomal RNA". It matches the Rfam family "Eukaryotic large subunit ribosomal RNA", at positions 88 to 1156 of the family's 3401-position model. Lineage: Eukaryota; Fungi; Ascomycota; Lecanoromycetes; Ostropales; Graphidaceae. The record is from RNAcentral.
GGCAAGUGAAGCGGGCACAGCUCCAAGGGAAUGACUGGCUCUGGCCGAGUUGUNAUUUGUAGAAGGUGCUUCGGGUGCGGCCCCGGUCCAAGUCCCUUGGAACAGGGCGUCGCAGAGGGUGAGAGUCCCGUACGCGGCCGAUGGCCAAGCCCAUGUGAAGCCCUUUCGACGAGUCGAGUUGUUUGGGAAUGCAGCUCUAAAUGGGUGGUAAAUUUCAUCUAAAGCUAAAUAUCUGCCGGAGACCGAUAGCGCACAAGUAGAGUGAUCGAAAGAUGAAAAGCACUUUGAAAAGAGAGUCAAACAGUACGUGAAAUUGUUGAAAGGGAAGCGCUUGCAACCAGACUCGUUCGCGGGUGCUCAGCCGUCCCUCGGGGCGGUGCACUCUCCCGCGUUUCGGGCCAGCAUCGGUUUUGGCGGCCGGAUAAAGGCACUGGGAACGUAGCUCUCUUCGGGGAGUGUUAAGCCCAGGGUGCAAUGCGGCCAGCCGGGACCGAGGACCGCGCGUUCGCUAGGAUGCUGGCGUAAUGGUUGCCAGCGACCCGUCUUGAAACACGGACCAAGGAGUCGACCAAUCUGGCGAGUUUUAGGGCAUGAAACCCUGAAGCGCAAUGAAAGUGAACGUAGGUGGGAGCCCCCGGGUGCACCAUCGACCGAUCCUGAUGUCCUCGGAUGGAUUUGAGUAUGAGCCCGGUUGGUCGGACCCGAAAGUGAGUUUUUUCCAGGCUCUCCCCCGGGCACUCUUGCUAACGAAUGCUUCAGGAUGGUGAACUAUGCGUGAAUAGGGUGAAGCCAGAGGAAACUCUGGUGGAGGCUCGCAGCGGUUCUGACGUGCAAAUCGAUCGUCAAAUUUGCGCAUAGGGGCGAAAGACUAAUCGAACUAUCUAGGUAAUUUUAUCUUUCCAGACUUGAAUUUUCGAAUCAACUAACUCGAAACAGUAGCUGGUUCCCGUCGAAGUUUCCCUCAGGAUAGCAGCAACGAAAACAGUCUCAUGAGGUAGAGCAAACGAUUAGAGGUCUUGGGGUUGAAAUCGACCUUAACCUAUUCUCGAACUUCGAAUAUGUGAGAAGUCCUUGUUACUUAGUUGAACGUGGACAUUUGGGAUGUAUCGGUGCUAGUGCCCCAUUUUUGGUAGCAGAAACUGGCGG